RNAcentral lists this ribosomal RNA (1406 nucleotides) under Microbacterium sp. Ru50. RNAcentral's name for it is "bacterial LSU rRNA". It matches the Rfam family "Bacterial large subunit ribosomal RNA", at positions 1 to 1319 of the family's 2925-position model. Lineage: Bacteria; Bacillati; Actinomycetota; Actinomycetes; Micrococcales; Microbacteriaceae. The record is from RNAcentral.
GCGAGCAUCUGUGGCCAAGUUUUUAAGGGCGCACGGUGGAUGCCUUGGCACCAGGAACCGAUGAAGGACGUGGGAGGCCGCGAUAGUCCCCGGGGAGUCGUCAACCAGGCUUUGAUCCGGGGGUUUCCGAAUGGGGAAACCCGGCAGUCGUCAUGGGCUGUCACCCGCUGCUGAACACAUAGGCAGUGUGGAGGGAACGCGGGGAAGUGAAACAUCUCAGUACCCGCAGGAAGAGAAAACAACCGUGAUUCCGGGAGUAGUGGCGAGCGAAACCGGAUGAGGCUAAACCGUAUUGGUGUGAUACCCGGCAGGGGUUGCCAGUACGGGGUCGUGGGAUCGCACUUCACGUCUGCCGGCGGCUGGGACGAGUCAGAAACCGUUGAUGUAGGCGAAGGACAUGCGAAAGGUCCGGCGUAGAGGGUAAGACCCCCGUAGUCGAAACAUCAGCAACUCGCUUGAGAGACACCCAAGUAGCACGGGGCCCGAGAAAUCCCGUGUGAAUCUGGCGGGACCACCCGCUAAGCCUAAAUAUUCCCUGGUGACCGAUAGCGGAUAGUACCGUGAGGGAAUGGUGAAAAGUACCCCGGGAGCGGAGUGAAAUAGUACCUGAAACCGUGUGCCUACAAGCCGUGGGAGCGUCGCUGUCAUCUUCGGAUGGCAGUCGUGACUGCGUGCCUUUUGAAGAAUGAGCCUGCGAGUUUGCGGUAUGUUGCGAGGUUAACCCGUGUGGGGAAGCCGUAGCGAAAGCGAGUCCGAAGAGGGCGACUGAGUAGCAUGCUCAAGACCCGAAGCGGAGUGAUCUAGCCAUGGGCAGGUUGAAGCGGAGGUAAGACUUCGUGGAGGACCGAACCCACCAGGGUUGAAAACCUGGGGGAUGACCUGUGGUUAGGGGUGAAAGGCCAAUCAAACUCCGUGAUAGCUGGUUCUCCCCGAAAUGCAUUUAGGUGCAGCGUCGUGUGUUUCUUGCCGGAGGUAGAGCACUGGAUAGGCGAUGGGCCCUACCGGGUUACUGACCUUAGCCAAACUCCGAAUGCCGGUAAGUGAGAGCGCGGCAGUGAGACUGUGGGGGAUAAGCUCCAUGGUCGAGAGGGAAACAGCCCAGAGCAUCGACUAAGGCCCCUAAGCGUACGCUAAGUGGGAAAGGAUGUGGAGUCGCAGAGACAACCAGGAGGUUGGCUUAGAAGCAGCCACCCUUGAAAGAGUGCGUAAUAGCUCACUGGUCUAGUGAUUCCGCGCCGACAAUGUAGCGGGGCUCAAGCGUACCGCCGAAGUCGUGUCAUUGCAUAUGUAAGCCCCAACGGGUGUAUGGAUGGGUAGGGGAGCGUCGUCUGCCGGGUGAAGCGGCACUGGAAGGUAGUCGUGGACGGUUGACGAGUGAGAAUGCAGGCAUGAGUAGCGAUACAAAC